AGCUGCGUGGUGAGCACAAAGUGAACUAUUCUUUCGCCUUUUACUAAAGAAUACCGUGUGCAUGCCACACUAAGCAGCAUAUCUUAACACUAUAUUAAUAUAUAACUACAUAUUA
This is a non-coding RNA of Triticum aestivum (bread wheat), 115 nucleotides long. NCBI's taxonomy places the organism in Eukaryota, Viridiplantae, Streptophyta, Magnoliopsida, Poales, Poaceae. The record is from Rfam.